Molecule: transfer RNA, 72 nt
Filed under: Salmo salar (Atlantic salmon)
Lineage: Eukaryota; Metazoa; Chordata; Actinopteri; Salmoniformes; Salmonidae
Also listed under: 1 other name
Rfam family: tRNA
About the family: Transfer RNA (tRNA) molecules are approximately 80 nucleotides in length. Their secondary structure includes four short double-helical elements and three loops (D, anti-codon, and T loops).
Source: Rfam by way of RNAcentral
CUCCCUGUGGCUCAGUUGGUAGAGCAUGGUGUUUGCAACGCCAGGGUUGUGGGUUCGAUUCCCACAGGGGGC